GGGCGACACCACAACACCCACGUCCCCCUCUCUCCACUCACGUGGCAGUUUUUCUCGCCGCUCAAACCCACUGUCCAAAUCCACCACCACAAUCCCCUCGCCCACUCGCAGAAAUCCACCGUCGCUUCGUCGAUUCUGCGUGCCGCACUGCCGGAGGUUCGCCGGAGAUUUGGAAGGCGUUGGACAAGGGGAUGCGUCCGCAGGCGCUGCUUCUCUGCGAUCCAGGGGGAUCGAGGAUCUCGGGCAACUGCUCGUGCCGCGUCGAGGCGUUCCUCUACACCGUCGCCGACGCUGCGGUGGCGGCCGCCCCGGGGGCCGCGGCGGUGGAGCGCGGGCCAAGAAGGCGGCCGCGGCCGGGGACUGGUUCGCAGGGAUACACCGGCUCCAUGGAAACCGCCUUCAAGAACUUGCCCCAAAAGAAUUGCUGGGGCAUGCGUUGUAGGGUGAUUUCUCACCCCGUGUCAAGCUCGAGCUGCAUCGUUGAAUCAUAUCCUGCCUGCUGGUCCUUUGGGUGGGUGUGUACAACAGGGUCAGCAGCAGUUUGGUCUUCAGUUUCGUCCGUCAUGUUGGCUUUAGGCUUGUAGCCUAGUAGUGUUGUAAAUAUCUGAAUAACUUGGUGGCUUCUUACAAGGGAGGUGGACAUGGAUGGAUGUUGGCUGCCGGCCAGCCGAUGAGGUUGCACAACAUGCAGUGCGCCAAUGAAGAAGCAACGGAUUUUCACUAGUACUCCUAGUAUUAUUGUUGGCCAAUUCACGGGGGGCGACGAUGAGGGAUGGACGAACAAGUUGUGGCGAGUGGGAGAGACAAGGGGACCUGUUCACCGCUGCGAGGGGGAUGUCGAAGGAACCAAAAACGGAAGCUAGCACAGCGACACCAUGUUCAUUUGUCUGUAGGAGUGCCUCACUAAAUUCUAAAACGAUGUCAAAGCAACAUUUUCGAGGUUUUAUGCACUCGCCCAAGCAAGAAGCUUCAACAUCCACUUCCAGCAUGACUUGCUGUUUAUUUUCUCUGUGCAAGCAAGAAGCUUUGCCUAUCACUUUCAGUGGGGAAAAUGGCUGGGACGAGCAAAAAAUGCAAUUGGCAGCAACAACUUGCGGACGCUCCUGACCAUGAUUCAUCUCUUGACCAUGAUUCAUCUACUACCUUUGAAGAGCAACAAACAGCGGGAGGAAUACGGCAAGCUGUGGGGAUCAGGGCACACCCCAAGCUAUCCAGAGAGAGAGGUGGCGCAGGGGAGGUUGUACAGGAAGCGUGAUUGGAAACUGACCUUCAAGUGCUCAUGGGGUGGGUGGAGGAUCCUCAGAGUUCCAUGUAUAUAAGAUUCAUGGCAGAAGAUGGAGAAGGGAGGGAUGGGUAGAUGGGGAAGAAAGGCUGGAGGAGGAGCGGGGGGUUGGACUGUAUGGGAAGGGAGGAAGGCUGCAGAGUUUUUGUGGCGUGUGGUUUUUUUUGUUUGACUAUUUCUUGUGGCGUGAGAUUCACACUGUAUUGCGGGACUGUAUUGUGGGAGGAGGUAAUCUGUCCAUGUGAGUGAUCGAACCGUUUCUUUCCUCUUUUGGGCGCCAGCUAGCAACAGGGGAGGGUCCACUGCCUUAUUUAGGCGUGUGCCCUGGACCGCUAGCCAGCCAACGGCUGCUGGCUAGUCGCGUCCAUUAGUAUUUCA
This is a long non-coding RNA of Triticum dicoccoides, 1660 nucleotides long. RefSeq lists it as uncharacterized. Lineage: Eukaryota; Viridiplantae; Streptophyta; Magnoliopsida; Poales; Poaceae. The transcript is spliced from 7 exons. The record is from RefSeq and is a predicted model, not a curated record.